CAGUCGCCGCGGUAAUACGAAGGGUGCAAGCGUUAAUCGGAAUUACUGGGCGUAAAGCGUGCGUAGGCGGUUUGUUAAGUCUGCUGUGAAAUCCCCGGGCUCAACCUGGGAAUGGCAGUGGAUACUGGCAAGCUAGAGUGUGGUAGAGGAUAGUGGAAUUUCCGGUGUAGCAGUGAAAUGCGUAGAGAUCGGAAGGAACAUCUGUGGCGAAGGCGACUAUCUGGGCCAACACUGACACUGAGGCACGAAAGCGUGGGGAGCAAACAGGAUUAGAUACCCGCGUAGUCCCUGUCUCUUAUAC
RNAcentral lists this ribosomal RNA (301 nucleotides) under uncultured bacterium. RNAcentral describes it as "partial 16S ribosomal RNA". It matches the Rfam family "Bacterial small subunit ribosomal RNA", at positions 509 to 807 of the family's 1533-position model. The record is from RNAcentral.